CUUCGGCGGGCCCGCCAGCCUUCGGGCUGGCCGCCGGGGGGCGUCUCGCCCCCGGGCCCGUGCCCGCCGGAGACCCCAACAUGAACCCUGUUCUGAAAGCUUGGUGUCUGAGUGUGAUUGUUUGCAAUCAGUUAAAACUUUCAACAAUGGAUCUCUUGGUUCCGGCAUCGAUGAAGAACGCAGCGAAAUGCGAUAACUAAUGUGAAUUGCAGAAUUCAGUGAAUCAUCGAGUCUUUGAACGCACAUUGCGCCCCCUGGUAUUCCGGGGGGCAUGCCUGUCCGAGCGUCAUUGCUGCCCUCAAGCCCGGCUUGUGUGUUGGGCCCUCGUCCCCCGGCUCCCGGGGGACGGGCCCGAAAGGCAGCGGCGGCACCGCGUCCGGUCCUCGAGCGUAUGGGGCUUUGUCUUCCGCUCUGCAGGCCCGGCCGGCGCCCGCCGACGCAUAACAACUUUUUUUCCAGGUUGACCUCGGAUCAGGUAGGGAUACCCGCUGAACUUAAGCAUAUCAAUAAGCGGAGGA
This 518-nucleotide unclassified non-coding RNA is filed under the name Aspergillus sp. 7 JS-2017. Its description in RNAcentral is "sequence contains ITS1, 5.8S rRNA gene and ITS2". The stretch from base 136 to 289 matches the Rfam family "5.8S ribosomal RNA". Lineage: Eukaryota; Fungi; Ascomycota; Eurotiomycetes; Eurotiales; Aspergillaceae. The record is from RNAcentral.